GUAGGGAAUAUUGGACAAUGGGGGGAACCCUGAUCCAGCCAUGCCUCGUGGAGGAAGACUGCCCUCUGGGUUGUAAACUCCUUUUAUAUGGGAAGAACCGUCCUCAUUAAUGAUUGACCUGACGGUACCAUAGGAAUAAGCACCGGCUAACUCCGUGCCAGCAGCCGCGGUAUUACGGAGGGUGCAAGCGUUAUCCGGAUUCACUGAGUUUAAAGGGUGCGUAGGCGGAUAAAUAAGUCAGUGGUGAAAUCAACGGGCUCAACCUGUUAACUGCCAUUGAUACGGUGUAUCUUGAAUAUGAGAGAGGUAGGCGGAAUGUUGCAUGUAGCGGUGAAAUGCUUAGAUAUGCUACGGAACACCGAUUGCGAAGGCAGCUUACUAUUUCGUAAUUGACGCUGAGGCACGAAAGCGUGGGUAGCGAACAGGAUUAGAAACCCCGGUAGUCC
This 446-nucleotide ribosomal RNA is filed under the name uncultured bacterium. RNAcentral's name for it is "bacterial SSU rRNA". It matches the Rfam family "Bacterial small subunit ribosomal RNA", at positions 354 to 796 of the family's 1533-position model. The record is from RNAcentral.